CUACGGGAGGCAGCAGUGGGGAAUAUUGCACAAUGGGCGCAAGCCUGAUGCAGCGAUGCCGCGUGCGGGAUGAAGGCCCUAGGGUUGUAAACCGCUUUCAGCAGGGAAGAAAAUGACGGUACCUGCAGAAGAAGGUGCGGCCAACUACGUGCCAGCAGCCGCGGUGACACGUAGGCACCAAGCGUUGUCCGGAUUUAUUGGGCGUAAAGAGCUCGUAGGCGGUUCAGUUAGUCGGGUGUGAAAACUCUGGGCUCAACCCCGAGACGCCACCCGAUACUGCUGUGACUAGAGUACGGUAAGGGGGUGGGGAAUUCCUGGUGUAGCGGUGAAAUGCGCAGGUAUCAGGAGGAACACCAGUUGCGAAGGCGCCACCCUGGGCCGUAACUGACGCUGAGGGCCGAAAGCAUGGGUAGCCAACAGGAUUAGAUACCCUGGUAGUCC
RNAcentral lists this ribosomal RNA (441 nucleotides) under uncultured bacterium. RNAcentral describes it as "bacterial SSU rRNA". It matches the Rfam family "Bacterial small subunit ribosomal RNA", at positions 339 to 796 of the family's 1533-position model. The record is from RNAcentral.